This 234-nucleotide long non-coding RNA is filed under the name Neodiprion pinetum (white pine sawfly). RNAcentral's name for it is "uncharacterized LOC124218960". The record is from RNAcentral. Lineage: Eukaryota; Metazoa; Arthropoda; Insecta; Hymenoptera; Diprionidae.
CCAAAAAUACCGGCCCUGAUAACACUGCGACUGACGAGACCGACGACAACGAUAACACAGACAGAAAGAACACCACUAUUGCAAACACCAGGACAGGCCCCACACCCACACAGAUACGGACGCGACGGCACACACCAGACUGAGACCCGACGAACCCUACUACCGACACCCACCACAUACAUACAGCCACACAGAGACACUCACAAACACACACACCGAUGACCACACACACAA